This 403-nucleotide ribosomal RNA is filed under the name uncultured bacterium. RNAcentral's name for it is "bacterial SSU rRNA". It matches the Rfam family "Bacterial small subunit ribosomal RNA", at positions 355 to 775 of the family's 1533-position model. The record is from RNAcentral.
UAGGGAAUAUUGGUAAUGGGCGAAAGCCUGAACCAGCAACGCCGCGUGUGCGAAGAAGGCCUUCGGGUUGUAAAGCACUUUUUAAGGGGAUGAGGAAGGACAGUACCCUUAGAAUAAGCCUCGGCUAACUACGUGCCAGCAGCCGCGGUAACACAUAGGAGGCAAGCGUUAUUCGGAUUUACUGGGCGUAAAGCGCGUGCAGGCGGUUUGGUGAGUUGGAUGUGAAAGCUCCCGGCCUAACUGGGAGAGGUCGUUCAAUACUACCAGACUAGAGGAUGGGAGAGGGAGGUGGAAUUCCGGGUGUAGUGGUGAAAUGCGUAGAUAUCCGGAGGAACACCAGUGGCGAAAGCGGCCUCCUGACCCAUUUCUGACGCUCAGACGCGAAAGCUAGGGUAGCAAACGG